Molecule: ribosomal RNA, 252 nt
Filed under: uncultured bacterium
Lineage: Bacteria
Description: partial small subunit ribosomal RNA
Rfam family: Bacterial small subunit ribosomal RNA
Source: RNAcentral
AGCCUGAACGCUGGCGGCGUGGCUAAGACAUGCAAGUCGUACGGAUGUAGCAAUACAUCAGUGGCGAACGGGUGAGUAAUGUAUCGCUAAUGUACCCCGGAUUCUGGGAUAGCUGUCCGAAAGGACAGGUAAUACCAGAUGAUAUACCCUUGUCGCAUGGCGAGGGUCUCAAAGGAGCAAUCCGCUCUGGGAGCAGGCGAUAUCGUAUCAGCUAGUUGGUGAGGUAACGGCCUACCAAGGCGACGACGGGUA